Molecule: long non-coding RNA, 1792 nt
Filed under: Cyanistes caeruleus (blue tit)
Lineage: Eukaryota; Metazoa; Chordata; Aves; Passeriformes; Paridae
Description: lncRNA (ENSCCEG00000009320.1)
Source: RNAcentral
GCACAGAUGUAGCUCCAGCAUGAAAAAAUACUUAGCUUUUCCAAACACAAUGAUAUUGGACAUUCUGUUUAUAGCUGUGAAUAGAUUUUUUUUUUUUUACUUAGUAGUUGAGCUGAAAAGCUUGUCAAAUAAAUAGUUUAGUGUUGAUCCAUUGGUUAUCUGUUGGUCAAAAUUAUUUUUGCUAUUCAUUAGCUGUGUCAGACUCAAUAUGAUUUCAAAGUAAUAAUAAUAAUAAUUAGCAUAAAAAUCUAUUUAGCAAAACUGUUUAAUUAAUGAGUUUUUUUAAUUUAAUGAGCAUUUUCCUUCUAAGGUUUUAAAUUUCCAGGUGAAAUUACUUGCUGUAGUAUAAAUAAAUUGUAAAAUGAUUUUUUAUCUCUUAAAAGUACAGUUUCUGAAAAAUUUUUAGGAGCAAUGAUCAUGCAUUUGGACUUGAGGAAGAUUAUGACAUAUCAGCAAAGACUGAGUUACAUGGCAUGUAGGCACUCAAAGUAAAUGCAUAUUUACUUUGAGAGCUAUUACCAAAGUUAAUUUAAUUUUGGUACAUUAAGAAUAGACUGUUGUACAGGUUUCAAAUAUCAUUCUAUUUGCUGUACUGUGCAGUGUGUGGCUGCUAAACACUUCUACAUGGAGAUGAAGAAGAGUGGCUGCUUGCAGUUCUACUUCUGCUCUGUCUUGAAGCCAUCCAAAAAAUUGAAUGACAUCCAAGCAAUGCACAAGGACUACAUAAAAAGGAAAAUGGACAGCAAAGGCAGCAAGUUAAGCCUCAUUCACUGGAGACUGAUCUCAUUAUGACCAAAUGUUAGCUGUUUAGAGAAGCACCUACAUUUUGGGAAGCAGUCUUACCUCCUGUUGUAGUUUGGGAGAAAAAGACCCUGGAAAUGAACAGUUUCUCAUGCCUGUUUUAUGUAUUCACAUCAGAAAAUUAUGAAUGGCACCUAUUUCUCUUCACUGCCAGGGGAGUCUAGGCCACUAGUUCAGAUGUCAACUCCUCUGUUAAUGUCUGCAGUUACUCCCAUGUUUUUAGCUUAGAUUAACUUCUAAGUGGGAUUUUCAGUUUCCUGAGUAGCUUUCUGCAAUUGUCUGAAGUUAUGAGGAUACAAACUAGGAAACAUUAAAGUAACUUCCAAGCUCUGUGGAAGCUCAUUUAAGGCUGGAAGCAAAGUUAGAUGAGGAACUAUAGUUGGUCGUUGUGUAUUAUAUUGCUAUAUUUCCUAUGACUUCAAGAUGUUUGGUUGAAAGUAUGAAAAUGGUUUAUUUUCUGUUGUCCCAGUAAGAUACAUUCUUUUUUUGAAAAUCUCGUUAAUACUAAGCCUACUGACCACCGCCUUACAGGCAGAAGUUGAGCUGACCACUGAAAAUGCAGCUCCAAUAGGAGCUCCGUCUGAGCUUUCAGUGUGAAGGAAAUGGCUGGGCUGUUCCUAACCCUGCAGUUUCUGCCUGCAGAGGGCCCGAGGCAAUGGGCAGGAGGGAGUCAGAGCCACUCCUUAGCUGAUCUAUAGGAGCCUGACACCAGUUCAGUCCUUCAGCCUUGGGUUGUCCUUCAGUCCGGGGUACCUGCACAUUUCCCCAUCUCUGAAAUGUGUCAAGUUCCUUCUGGAUCUUUCUGGGCAUUUUUACACAGUGCUCUACAGUAUUUCUGUGUUCCCCAGUGUUAUUUAUCCCACUAAGUGAAGAAUUAUGUACAGGCAGGCUUCUAAUUUAAUUUUUUUUAUCACAUAAUGUCUUUCCUCCAUCUCCCCACUAAAGGCACAGAGUUUCAGAGCUUUCCUUAAAUGACUUCAAAUCAUGCUUU